This 17067-nucleotide long non-coding RNA is filed under the name Marmota monax (woodchuck). The record is from RNAcentral. Lineage: Eukaryota; Metazoa; Chordata; Mammalia; Rodentia; Sciuridae.
CUAUAUAAGAAAGGGAAGAUCAUUUGCCACUCAAUUAUUCCACUUGGUGGUAAGGACCCCACCCCCUUCCAGAAUAAACCUAAACGGGGAAUUUCUAGUUAUCUUAUUCUGAUUCAAGGAUGAGAAAAACCAAGCUUAUUAAGUGGCACAGCAUGUUCCUUGAUGAGGGAUAGAGAAGGGAGCCCACUGUCUAGUUGGGACUGCCACCUCGGUGGGAUUGAGGAUGCAGAACAAUUGUUGCAUGGGGAACUUGAGUAGUAUCAUCAAAGACAGGGAGAACAGGAGAAUGUGGCAUUGUAUACCAACAAAACACCACAAUUAGGGGAAUCAGGGGAAACUUGAAAGAAAUGUCAAUCAAAGUGGGAGAAACUGACAUCUGGGUUAGGAAUGGAACAGAAGGUCUUGGUGGGAUGUAGGUCUAGGUUUCCCUGCCAAGAUAGGAAAGCUUUGACUCUCCCUAUAGCUUACACUUUUCUUUUAUAAAGAUGACCUUUAAUCACACCCACUGUUAGUACCACAUUCCCUGUUUCUUUAAGCAUCCUCAACUACUUCUGGGGACCCAGCAGAGGCUUUGGCAGUAACAAAGCCCCACCCAGCACUUGCUUUGGACAUAAUGAGCUAAGGCAUUCAAGUACCCACCUUUGCUCAUUAAUUUAUCAUCAUCAAAUUUUAUUUUGAAAAACCACUAUUUUCUACAGUGAGGUAAUGUGAUCAUUGUAGGAAAAAGAAGAAAUGGAUGAAAUAAAAAGUAAAUAAAUGCCAUCCGUAAUCCAGAAAGAAGUGUUAAAUAUUUAGCAAAAUAAAAUAAUACUGUGCAUAUUCUUUGUUUUGUAAUAUCUUGUUUUUUAAAUACAUUUUUUAUUAGUCUCUACAUGAAAAACCAAUUCUGUGAGGGACCAGAUUUAACUCAAGAGAUUACCCUUACACACACACACACACACACACACACACACGCGCGCGCGCACAGAGAGAGAGAGAGACCUUUUAAUGAAAGUAUUAAUUAUAUGGAAAGUACACAAAUCAGCAGUAUACAGCUUGAGGAGUUUUCACAAACAGAACACACUAUCUAUGCUGUCUCUUNNNNNNNNNNNNNNNNNNNNNNNNNNNNNNNNNNNNNNNNNNNNNNNNNNNNNNNNNNNNNNNNNNNNNNNNNNNNNNNNNNNNNNNNNNNNNNNNNNNNNNNNNNNNNNNNNNNNNNNNNNNNNNNNNNNNNNNNNNNNNNNNNNNNNNNNNNNNNNNNNNNNNNNNNNNNNNNNNNNNNNNNNNNNNNNNNNNNNNNNNNNNNNNNNNNNNNNNNNNNNNNNNNNNNNNNNNNNNNNNNNNNNNNNNNNNNNNNNNNNNNNNNNNNNNNNNNNNNNNNNNNNNNNNNNNNNNNNNNNNNNNNNNNNNNNNNNNNNNNNNNNNNNNNNNNNNNNNNNNNNNNNNNNNNNNNNNNNNNNNNNNNNNNNNNNNNNNNNNNNNNNNNNNNNNNNNNNNNNNNNNNNNNNNNNNNNNNNNNNNNNNNNNNNNNNNNNNNNNNNNNNNNNNNNNNNNNNNNNNNNNNNNNNNNNNNNNNNNNNNNNNNNNNNNNNNNNNNNNNNNNNNNNNNNNNNNNNNNNNNNNNNNNNNNNNNNNNNNNNNNNNNNNNNNNNNNNNNNNNNNNNNNNNNNNAAGAGACAGACCUUACCCCAUUCCCUCUUCCAAGGAGCCCAGUCCCUAGCUUCUGCCCUGCUUUGUUCCUCAUGCCUUGUUCUGGAGUCUUGUCUCCUAUUUCUGGAGAUAAUGUAAUCGGAACUAAAUCUUCCCAAGGAAGAUGUUCAGGGAACGCCCCUAGGAGAUGAACCCAGAUAGAUUCAUGCCAAUAAAAAUUUCAACGUGCAGCAGAAAUGAUCUGGUCUGGUGCCUUGCUGCCCACCAACAGGACAGCAGGCUCAGGCCAGAGCAAAGGCAAGAGUCAGGACACCAUGGGUGGGUCAGCCAGUCUGACUUCAGGGAAGUUCUGAGCCCAGCUGCGGAUGGAUGUGCUCUUCCAGCCUCCUUCCCACCUCGCCCAGGAAGAGAGAUCUGAGCCAAGAGCCACAUGGUUGUGACCUGUGAAAGAGUAGAGGCAAUGAAAAGUGUGGGAAGGUGGAGAGCAGAGGCAAUGAAAAGUGUGGGAAGGUGGAGAGCACUGAUCUGGUAGAGAGCUUGGUGGAAGGGACAAGGAAAACCAGAGGAAGGGACUGGCAGACCGGAGUGACAGUCAUGUUUGCUUUCUCUUAAUUAAUGUGGUUUCCUUACAAACCCCCUGCUGAUUCCCAGCUGGUUCACUCAACCAUAACAACACGUGGCCUGCCCUGCCUAGGCCAGGAACUGAGGCUGGACGCCUCCCAAGAAGGGUCUGGUUUCAUCUGCAGCGGCUAGCCCUGCUCCCCCUUACUGGCUUUAUGCAGAUGAGGGAAGGGACAGCACCUCAAGCUGUGGAGACAGCUGGGCUGGAGAAAAGGCCAGGGCCUGGCUGCUGCGGGUUCGCCUGGUUGCACGCUUUGGUUUCCCACGACCUUUCAUAAGGGGCAGUACUCUCCUAUUUGGGCUGUGGCCUGCCAAAAAGCUGAGUGGCGGGUGGGAGGAAACCUUGGACAAAAAGCCCUUGUUUGGUGGUGGCCUUCCUACAGGUGUGUCCUGCUGAUACCAUGUGCCUGGAAACAGUUGCGUCGAGGGUCUAGAGUUUUUGCUAAUUCAACAUUUUCCAUCCAGUUUUCAGUGUCGUUUCUCUUCUUUGCCAGGAUUCUUACUCUGUCCAAAUUUCGUCAUUCAUUUGUUCACUGGUUCAUUUUACCAAUAGGUUAUCAAUUGAGCAGGUACUGCAUGCCUUUUAUGAACAAAUGAUUAUAUGCACCCAGGGAAUAUGCUCUGGGGGUGAAUCCUCUUGUUUCACAAAAGAAACACUUUAUAAAUUUGAUGAUUGCCCUGAAGUUCACUUGCUCUUUCCUUUUUAUUUAACUAAUUUUUUUUACACAUUUUAAAUCAUGAAAUAGGACACACAUUUCAGAAAAAGUAUGUAAAAACUUAAAUGUUCCAUAUAAUAGAUUCAUUAUAAAGCAAAACGGAUUCAUUUCUAUGCUGGAGGACCAGGACACAGGACUGCCUUGAUAAGGAGAAAGAAGGAAAACAAAGAAGUAGAAUCAGUAAGAGGCAGUGUUAGCGGCCUUCAGAAUCCCAAAGGCUUCUGGGAAAGUGAGGCUGGAGGAAGGCCCCAAACAAAACUGCCUGUGGAAGGGGAAGAGACCUGCUGUAGCGUUUGGGUGCCCUCCUAGGCACAGACUAGAAUCCCAGCCAAAUGAGCAGUCCAGCCUGUGGCUGUGUCCAGUGAGGCCAGCUCAGCUCAGUGCCCUUAGCAAGCCCAGCUCUGGCUAUGUAUUUCUGCAGAGGGCAGGAUACCCUUACUGAGAGGGCCUUUGUGUCUCUGUCAAUCUAAGUGACACAUUUGAGUCCUUUCUCCUGGUGCCCAAGUGCAUUUUUGUUUAUUUUUUUGAUACUGGGGAAUUAACACAGGGGCACUUAACCACUGAGCCACAUCCCCAGACCUUUUCUUAAAAUAUUUUAUUUAGAGACAGGGUCUCUCUGAGUUGCUUAGGGCCUUGCUAAGUGGCUGAGGCUGGCUUUGAACUCAUGAUCCUCCUGCCUCAGGCUCUAAUGCCACUGGGAUUACAUGCACCAUGGUCCCUGGCCCCCAAAUGCAUUUCUUUUUCUUUCUUUCUUUCUUUCUUUCUGUUUUUGGUGGUACUGGGGGAUUAAACCCAGGGCCUUAACACACUACACAAGUAGUCUACCAACUGAGCUGUAUCCCCAGCCCUGCUUAACCCCCAAAUGCAUUUCAUUCCUAAGGAAAUGUUUUUAACCUUUUAAGACACUUCAAAACUGAUGGUACAUUUUGCUGAAUGUGUAAAAAAUGGUGCCUUAGGCCGGGCUGUCCUCAGUAUGCAAAGAAGAAAUAUACAAAAACAGCUGGGUGCAGUGGCUCAUGCCUGUAAUCCUGGUGACUCUUGAGGCUGAGGCAGGAGGAUUGCAAGUUCAAGGACAAUCUGGGCCACUUAGUGAGUCUUUGUCUCAAAAUAAAUUACAAAAAAGGGUGAAGGAGGCUGGAAAGGUAGCUCAGUGCUAGAGAACCUGUGGAUUCAAUCCCCAAAGCAAAAGGACAGAGCUGUAGACUGAAAAUCAGCCUCUUCCCUAACCAGCCGGCAACAUAAAGCCAGGUGCACAUGCUGUCUGGGCCUGUUUCUCCAUCCAUAAAGAGCGUCAUCAGGUUCUAGAUUCUGAUUCUGCAAACAGUCCUGUUCUUAUAACCCAGAGUGGUAGGGCAGCUGUAUCACAUUUGCCAGAACUUAGCUUGAUAGCUAUACCUAGCCACCACGGCUACUGAGAAUUGUCUUUUUUUUUUUUUUUAGAGAGAGUGAGAGAGAUAGAGGUAGAGAGAGAAUUUUUUAAUAUUUAUUUUUUUAGUAUUUGGCGGACACAACAUCUUUGUUUGUAUGUGGUGCUGAGGAUCGAACCCGGGCCGCACGCACACCAGGCGAGCGCGCUACCACUUGAGCCACAUCCCCAGCCCGAGAAUUGUCUUUAUUCUAGGCAGACAUGUGGAAAUAGUCCAUUCACCUUGCUGAGACUCAGUUUCUCUUCUCACAAGAUAAGAUGUCUGAGGAAUCACCCAGUGGAAUGGACUAGACCUGGAAGCCCUAAUUUGGCAGUCUGAAUUCCAAGGCCCUCCCCCAAAUCCCCAUCCCUGCCUGGGGAUUGCUGUGGGUGUCAGAGGGCCAGAAGAUCACCUGGGCCACAGGCCAGGAAUAGGGUCCAGGUGUGGGAGAGAUCAUCUUAGGAACCAGCUGGCAGGGGCCCCUAGAGAAUGCUAUUGUUGAGAAUGGUUUUCUUCUGGAUCCUAGGAUCCAGAUGGGGGACAAAUGCCACAGAGUGGUGGGCAGAGAGAGGAAGGCGACAGCUGAAGAAGGCUGGGGAGUCCCUGCUGAUGAGUGGAGUCGGGAGACGUGCAAGCCCUGCCUCUCAGUGCCUGUGGCGCCUGAGGCUUAUCCCUGCACUGUUUGGGGCUCCCAUGACCUCAUCUGUAAAGUGAAAUUCUGGCCAAGGGAUCGCUGAGGUCACCUCCUAAUUCUAGCUUCAGUCACUCUGAGUGAAAGCAUAGGUUCUUCCUUUGUGCCUCCAUCGCUGGGCUGGGCUGGGCGCAGAAGGGAGAGGAUAGGGUCUCGUGGAGCUCUGUUCUCAUGUCCUCACUCUGCCCCUGCUGUUGCCACAGAAGCCAUUUUGACCCCAAGGAGAUUGGCUUCAGGUGAAAGUGGUAGGGGCAGGGCCAGGAUAGGGACAGUCACAACAUUUCCUCAAUGCCAUCUUCCUGGCUUCUGGAAACUGAGUGAGCUUUGGAUCUGGCAGUUUUGGGAUGAAUUUAUUCCAGUUGUGAGUAUUAGUAAUAAAUACUAAAGGGAUGUGAGAACUUGUGCCCAUGUGGUCUGAGUGAGCACACACAUGCUCCAUGGAUAGCUCCUGUGUGUAGGGGGGACUGUCAGAACUCAAUGCUUGGAAAAAUGCCAACUUUCCUCUUUGUUCACAAUUUCCUUUUGACCCUAGAGAAGAUUUUCUGAUGUAUUUAUGACUAAGAGCUGCCAGGACGUGGAACGUGAGAACCCAGGGGAGGCAGUGGAGCUGGCCUCUCUGCUCACUCCUGUUGGGUCAUUGGAAGGCAGCUGGCCAGAACGGAGGAAGAGGGCAAUUGCUUUCUUUCCCCUUUGUAACCCAUUUGGCUUUCAAAGGGACCUGUGUCCCACUACUCCCCUUUGUUAGAAACUGUAUGUAAGCUUGUGUGGAGGGGGAUGGAUGGAUCCUUGGGGGGCAUUGAGGACCAACAUGGCUGCCAGGCCAUGUUGGUCCCUGGAUCUCUGUGGAGGUCCAUCUCUACAGGGCCUCCCACACCCUCAGCUGCUGCCCCUGUUGCUGAAGUUCUGUUUAUUUUAUCUGUCGUAGGCCUCCGGGUCUCGGAUCUGAGGGUUCCUCAUGGGUGGAAUCACCCCUUAUUCUCACAUCAGUCCUGGAUGGCAGGAAAGGGAAGGCAGAGGGUUUUUUCCUGACAUGACCCACCACUCCCAGCAUUUGUCCCAGAGAGGACAUGUGAUUUUCCCCUAAAGACCCAGCAAAUUAGAGAGAGAGAGAGCUAAUCAACCAAGCAACUGGGCUUCUAGUAACAGAUACUAUUUGUUCUUUGCUUGGGAGGUGGGAGGGGCUGGAGAGUCUCUUUGUUGGGGGUUAGGUGGUCUCCAACAAAGGCGCUCUGGAAGCUGGACAUUCCUGGUUGUCCUGCCUUUGGUCACUUGCUGGGACACAGAAGUUCCAGCUCUGCUCCACCAACCUUGGUUUUGCCCAGGGAACUGAUGGCGAGAAGGAGGGCAGGAGAUGGCAGGACAAGGGAAACCAGAAAGGGAGCAAAGGGUUUGGGGACAGAGGGAGCUGGAGAAAGAGCAAAUGAAUAAUGUCCUGGAAAACAGCUCGUUUCCCCUUUCCAGCCUCCCUCCCUGCCCUGCCCACUGGAGACAGUCGUAAUUUGAUUACAUUCGCUUCCAGCCUAGCAGAGUAAACAAGGAUCUCCUGUGGAAGGAAGGCAGGAGGUGGCCCAGGCUUCUGGCACACUCUUCCCAGGGCCUUGACAGGGGUUUCGCCCUCCAGUGCUUGUCCUUUUCUCCCUGGGUGCCCAUGUUUGGAAGGCUUCAACUCCCAUUUUCUACCACUGUCCUGUGUCUCCUGUCACCCCCCGCAAUGUCCUCACCCUGAAGCCUGCCUACCAUGCAAUUUUUAAAACUAUCUAUGAUUUCCUGUUUAUUAUCAGUGUAAAUCCUGAGUUCACUCAUUUAGCAUCUGUCCCCCUAUAUCUAUCUCAGGAGAGGCCUGAAGGCAAGGCCAUGUGUCUACCCUUCUCUAGGAGCACAGCAUUGCUCAGGUCAAGGAUGUGGCUAAUUCUGGUUUUUAUUUAUUUAUUUUUGCCCAAUUUUUUUAUUGUGGUAAAGUAUGCAUAAAAUUUACCAUCUGGGGAUAUAGCUUAGUUGGAAGAGUGCUUGCCUCACAUGCACAAGGCCCUAGGUUCAACCCCCAGCACCAAAAAAAAAAAAAAAAAAAAAUUUACCAUCUUGAAAAUUCUUGGAAAUUGAAACCAAGGCCUGGCACAUAUUAGGCAAGUGCUGAUCACUGAGCUACACCCCAAGGCCCAUCUGAACUAUUUUUAAGUGUAGAGUUCCUCUGGCACUAAAUACCUUCACACUGUUGUGCAUCGGUCACCACCAUCCAUCAUCCAUCUCUAGAGCUCUUUUCUUCUUGCAAACUGAAACUGUGUACCUAUUAAACACAUAAGUCCCCAACCCCUGUGUCCCUGGCACCCAUAAACCACCAUUCUCUCUCUGUGAAUUUGAUUACCCCAGGUAACUUCAUGUAAGUGGACCCACACAGCAUCUCUUUGUGACUGACCGAUUUCACUUAACAUAAUGUCCUGGAGGGUCACCCAGGCUGUAACCUGGGCCAAAUUUUCCUCCUUUUGGGAAAGGGGAAAUACUUGGGAACCAUAUUUGCCAAAUUAUAUUGUUAUACUCUGUGCAUUUACAAAUUGCACCAUUAUGUACAACUUUUCUUAUGCACCAAUAAAAAAUAUGGAAAGUAAAAAAUGAAUAAUGUCCUGGAAAACAGCUCAUUUCCCCUUUCUAGCCUCCCUUUUAAAAAUUACUAAUAAUAUACCAUUGUAUGAAUUUAGCAUAUUUGCUUAUCCAUUUAUCUAUAGAUGGGCAUGUAGUUUGCUUCCACCUUUUAACUGUUUUGAAUAAUGCUACUAAAAACACAGGCAUACAAAUCGACUUUCUUUUUUUUUUUUUUAACACUAGGGAUUGAAACCAGGGUGUUUACCACUGAGCUAUGCCCUCAGUCCUUUUUAUUUCUUUAUUUAAUUUUUAGAUAGGGUUACACUAAGUUGCUGAGGCUGACUUGGAACUUGUGAUCCUCCUGUCUUAGCCUCCCAAGUCACUGGGGUUAUAGGUAUGUGCCACCAUGCCCGGCUUCAGCUUCAAUUUUCAAAAUAAAAGGCUACCACUAUAGUUUGCAUCUGAAAUGCCUCCAAAGGCCCAAGUUUCGGAGGCUUAGUUCCCAGGGAGGCGCUAUUGGGAAGCGGUGGAACCUAUGAGACGAGGCUUUGUGGCAGGUCUUCAGGUAUGGGGUGUGCUCUUCAGUGGAAUAUUGAGACACUGGCUGGCCCCUUCCUCUUUCUCUGUUUUUGCUCCUUGGACAUAAAACAAGCAGGUUUUGUUCUUGUUUUAUUUUAUUAUUAUUAUUAUCAUUAUUUUUUUGGUGUUGGGGAUUGAGCCCAGGGGCGCUUACCCAGUGAAUCACAUUCCCAGUCAUUUUUAUAUUUUAUUUUGAGAUAGGAUCUCACUGAGUUGAACUAAGCAGUUUUGUUCUGCUACUCCUGCCAUGAUGUGCUGCUUCACCACAGACCCAAAAGCAACAGGGCCAACUGCUUAUGGACUGAAAUGUCCCAAACUGUGAGCCAAAAUAUGCCCCCCACCUUUUUUUUGUAAUGGGGGUUGAACCCAGGGGCACUUAACCACUGACGCACAUUCCCAGACCUUUUUAUGUUUUAUAUAGAGACAGGAUCUUGCUAAGUUGCAUAGGGCCUUGCUAAGUUGCUGAGGCUUUGAACUUAUGAUCCUCUUGCCUCAGUCUCCCAAGCCACUGGGAUUACAGGUGAGCACCACUGCACCUAGCCAACCCUUUCUUUUUAUAAAUUUAUUAUCUCAGGUAUUUGUUAUAGUAAUGGAAAGCUGACUGAUCUAGCUACAUUUUAUUGAUUGUUUACUACAUGCUCAGAACUGUGUAGACUUAAUCACUUAAUUUUUACAAGUACCUAUCAGGUAGCAACUAUUCUCUCCAACUAUUUUGUGGAUGAAGAAAUUGAGGGGCUGGGGAUGUGGCUCAAGUGGUAAUGUGCCCGCCUGGCAUGUGUGAGGCACUGGGUUCAAUCCUCAACACCACAUAAAAAUAAAAUAAAGAUAUUGUUUCCACCUAAAACUAAAAAUUAAAUACUAAAAAAAGAAAGAAAUUGAGGCUCUGGGAAGCAGGUGAUUUGUCCAAGGCAAGGAAGGAGGACAGGGAAAAUGAGAACCUGCUCAUUCUCUUUAACCUCAGCCUUUUACUGCAUUAUGUUCAUGAAGUACAUGACACUAGGGUCUCAGAGUAUGGUGCCCAUCUUGCACCCCUAGAAAGGUCAAGCUCUUCCUCUGGCCCUCUGCCCAGUGAGGGAAUCCAUCCAUCACUGAUAGGUUAUUUCAUUAGGCAAAGGUCCUGUCUGCACAUUUAAUUGAUGCCCCAAACUUUUUCCCGGAGUUAAGUCAAACAGUUAAACUUCCAGGGGCUGGAGCCCAGGCAUCAACAUUUGUAAAAGCUCCCCAGGAGAUUCUAUGUGUGACCAGGAUUGAGAACCACUGGGUUAGAAGAUGGAAGCAGAGGUAGAAGGAUGGAUGCCCCUUUCAGCCUCUUUGUCUUUCCUUGUGAUCCCAUUCCUCCUCCCUUCCAAGGAUGGCGUUUGGCCACUGAAUGUCUUCAAUUCAAAGACUCUGAAUCCCUGGGAUGCCUCCUUCUCCCUCUUUCUCCACAGGUUCUGAGUGUGUGUGUGUGUGUGUGUGUGUGUGUAUGUCCCAUGGAUAGGACACAAGGUUCUACAGGUCCCUGGAUGGAUCUAUUUAAACCAGCCAGACCCAGAAUGAAAAUAAGUUGCUGACAGCCCUCAGGCUGCAGAUUUCCCUCACCUCCCCAUUGGGGCAAGGGUGUGAGGUGGAGGGCAGAGGUUCCUGCGUCAUCAGAGGGUGGGGAGAGGAGGGAGGGGAAAGUACUUGGGCUUCUCGGGGUGGAUCCAGAAAAAUUGUGUGCCAUGCCUGUCCCAGCUUUUGCCUGUAGCUAUAGUAUAUCUCCUUGUGGUGCCCUGCCCCAAACCACAGCUGUCCCAGUCUCCAUGAAAUCCUGUUAAAGCCAGGGUGGCAUUGAGGCAAGGAGAAUAUCCAGGUUGGAAAUGCUCUAAGACAUUCUGUCUCCAGAGAACAUCUUGAAUGGGGGCACUUUGGGAUGAAUGGCUCUGGGAGCCUAUCCUGGGGAUCUUCCUCCCAGCCCCUGGAAGUUUAAAGAACUCUAGGAUCCUUAUGGGAUUAGCAGGCUGCCAGGCAAGUGCCCACAGGGGUGUGGAGGAUGGAUGUGGGCAGGAGGUCUGCCUUGGUUAGUGGAGUUUCUGGGUCCGGCCAUUACCUUGCUGCAUGACCUUGAGCAAGGCACUUCUUUCUGGGCCUGAGCAUCUCUAUCAUUAUAAAGGGUUUGGCCCAAAUCACUAGUUCUCAAAUUCAGCUGCACAUUGGAAUUGUCUGGGGAGAAUUAAAAAGUACCAUUGAGUGAAUUUCAUCCUCAAGAGACACUGAUUUAAUUGGUGUAAGUUGUGGGCUGAGUGUCAAGAUUUUCAGAAGAUCCCUAAGUGAUUAUAAUUUCUAGCUAAAUUUAAGCACUGCUGUUCUGGGUAACAGCUUCCAAACCAGUCACAUGGUAGCAUCAGUAGAAUGUGAAGUUUGAGCCAUGCCCUGUCAGCAGAGAGGACUACAGAGAGGCCUCCAGCUGCCCAUCUACCUAGCUGCCCUGAGGACCGCAGGGGUCAGGGUUUCAGGACCAGAAAGACAGCUCUUGGAUCCAGUGAAGUUUGUUGCCUCAUUUGCCCUCCAAUAGAGGUCUACAAUGACACAUGUACUAAAGUUGAGUAGUUUAAAGUUACAGUUAAGCAUGAGACAUAUUCUUAUGGCAUCAGUAUCCCUAGAAUAUUUUAAGAGAAAAAUUAUGAUUCACUUUGUAAGUAAAAAUGAUGUGUGUGUGUGUGUGUGUGCGCGUGCUGGGAAUUGAACCCAGGAAUGUUCUACCUCUGAGCUACAUCCUCAGUCCCUUUUUAAAAACUUGAAAAGUUUCCCUGCCUGGCCUUGAAUUUGUGACCCUCAUGCCUCAGCCUCCUGAGUCAUUGGGAUUACAAGCAUGUGCUGUCAUGCAUGGCAGAAUUAUUAUUUAAAAAAUACAAUAAUAAUCAGCUCAGUGGCACAUACCUGUAAUCCCAGCAACUCAGGAGGUGAGGCAGGAGGAUCACAGGUUGGAGCCCAGCCUCAGCAAUUUAGUGAGACCCUGUCUCAAGAUAAAAAAAUAGGAAGGCUGCUGGGUAUGGUACCCCCUCACUCCCAUACCCCCCCAAAGAAAAGAAAAAAAGAAAAAGACUGGAGAUGUAGCUCAGUGGUAGAGUGCCCCUGAGUUCAAUCUCCAGUACCACAUACAAAAAAAUAAAAUAAAAUAAGGCAGGCAUGCUGGCACACACCUGCAAUCCCAGCAGCUUGGGAGGCUGAGGCAGGAGGAUCACAAGUUCAAAGCCAGCCUCAGCAAUAGUGAGGCACUAAGCAACUCAGUGAGACCCUGUCGCUAAAUAGAAUACAAAAUAGGGUUGUGAAUGUGGCUCAGUGGUUGUGUGCCCCUGAGUUCAAUCUCUGGCAUACCCUCCCCCCCAAAAAAUAAAUAUAUAUGCCUAUAUCCUGGAGUAGAAUACACAUAUUUGAAGCUAAAAGAUCAGAUGUGAAAUUUGAACACCAUUUCAAGAGGCAUGAGCCUGAAGUUGGGGUGGAAAGUAGUACUCCCCUGACUUGGGUAUAAGUCUGAGGAAAAUGCUGGCGAGGUUCUGAGUCAGUCAGUGCACACUGAUCAGUGGGGAGAAGAUGCGUUGACUCCAUUAGUACUGGUAUGCUUCCUGGAGGAAGAGUCUUCUAGGCAGGAUCUUGAGGAAUGGGAGAUAGGAGGGUCUGGCCAGGGUCUCCGUAGACCCCACUAAGGAAUGUGAUCCCAGACAUUCUUUCUUGCCUUGGGCUUGUGAAUUCAAGAAAGUCCCCAAAGAUCCUGCCAUCCUCCAGCGCACACACACGUCCAGCUCCACACCUUGAGGCUGACCUGGCUGUGAGUCUUUCCGCCUGGGGCAGCUGAGUACAGGAUUGUAACACCAAACUGCUCAGUCUAACCCCAACUUUAUCGACCUGCAGCUGAGUCACUGUUGCAGAGGUAGCCACCCGCCACCCAGGUAGGGGAGUGGCCCCAUUGCCCCAGAUUCCUACCAUUUUCUCUUACCCACUUACUCUGUUCCCCAGGCCAGAGGUAGGCCCCUGAGUUGCUGGGCUAGGAGCAGGCUGGGGGUGGGACAACAUGUCUCCCAUGUCCUGCAUAAGGUCCUCCGGGCAGCUUGUGUCUAUCCCCUCCUGACUCCAGGACACCAAGGGACGUGACCUUUAAGAGUUUCGGCACAGCCCAAAGAGACCAGGGAGGGCACUGAGUGGGUAUGCUGAGGAUUCAAGCCUUGUGUCCUCCGUUCAAUAGCCCAGCUCUCAGAGAGGGGGUCAUGAACUCUAGAGCCCACUUGCUCCUCAGCAGAGUGGCUGUUCUUUCUCUUUGGUGACUGGGCUGAUCAUGCCCUGGGACACUUGAGCUUCAACUCCACACAUGAGAAACGAUCCUUGUUCCUGACCUUCAUCCUACCCCAAGGAGGUGUGGCACAGGCUGGUUACAGCAUGAACUGUUUGGAGAUUCACUGUUUAGUCUUCAAAGAGCCUAGAACACGCCUGGCACAGAGCAAUGGCUUAGGAAGCAUAGUGGGCCCUCCGCAUUCCUGGGUUCUGCUGUGUCUUUGGGUUCUGCGUCAGCACAUUCAACGAGGAGUGAACAGACUAAUAAAUAAAUAGAAAUAGCGUCUGUACUGAACAUGGACUUUUUAUUUCUUGUCAUUAUGCCCUAAACAGUAUAACAAUAUUUCCAUACCAUUUACAUUGUAGUAUUUAUUUCCAUACCAUUUAUAUUGUAAAUAACCUAGAGAUGAUUUAUGUAUGCAGGAAAAUGAGCAUGGGUUAUAUGUAAAUACUAUGUGUUUAACAUAAAGGACUUCGGCAUCCAAGGAGUUUGGUUUCUUCAAGGGUCCUAGAACCCAUCCUCUGGUUUUGAUAAGCAGAUUUAUUGAUUAAACAAAAGGAACUAGUGGACCUGGUUUUCGGUCCCCAUGGUAUAUACUAUGGGGCCUUUGUCUGCUUUACUUUUUCCUUCUGUAAAAUGGGUUUGGCAAUAGAAUCUCCUUCAUAGAAUAUUUUUAUUUUUAUUUAUACAUAACAGAAAAAUGUGUUUUGGCAUAUUAUACAUAUAUGGAGCAUAACUUCCCAUUCUUGUGGUUGUACAUGAUGUGAAGUUUACACUGGUUGUGUGUUCAUAUAUGAACACAGGAAAGUUCUGUCCGAUUCAUUCUACUGUCUUUCCUAGUCCCAUCUCCCUCCCUUCCCUUCAUUUCCCUUUGUAUAAUCCAAUGAACUUCUUUCCUUCCCUCCCACCCCUCUUAUUGUAUGUUAGCAUCUGCAUAUCAGAGAAAAGAUUCAGCCUUUGGUUUUUUGGAAUUGGCUUUUUCACUUAGCAUGAUAGUCUCCAGUCCCAUCCAUUUACUAGCAAAUGCCAUAAUUUCAUUCUUCUUUAUGGCUGAGUAAUAUUCCAUUGUGUAGCUAUACCACAUUUUCUUUAUCCAUUCAUAUGUUGAAGGGUACUUAGGUUGGUUCCGUAGCUUAACUAUUGUGAAUUGAGCUGCUAUAAACCUUGAUGUGGCUGUGUCACUAUAGUAUGCUGAUUUUAAGUCCUUUGGUUAGAUACCGAGGAAUGGAAUAACUGGGUCAAAUGGUGAUUUCAUUCCAAAUUUUCUGAGGAAUCUCCAUACUGCUUUCCACAGUGGCUGCGUCCCACCAGCAAUAGGAUUUCAUAUGUUAAGCUUUGGAAGGUUCAUGGAUAUAUUAGGUGCUCAGUAAGUCUUGGCUCUCUCUUGCUCUUCUCUGAGCCCCUGCUGGGGUCCCAGCUGAGAGAAGUAAGGGCUGGCCAGAGCAAACAUCACACACACCCUUGGGGCUUAGGGCAGGAUACAGGCCCAGCCACUCGGGUCCUCUUCUUUUCACUCCCCUAGCAUGCCUGUGCAUGGAAUGUGGUUCAAACACAUGUAGAUGGUGGGUAUGAGGAGGCCAGGUCCCAGGCAGCCAGCACAUUGCAAAGGGCUGGAGAGGCCUGCGGACUGCAAAAUUGACUAACAAGGCCCAGCUUCCCCUUUGAUCCUUCUCCCUACCAGCCUAGUCUAUCUAAACCAGAAAGAAGACAGUGCUGCUCCCUUGCUUACUGAUCCUCAAGGUUCAUCUUGCCUCUGCCAGUGCAGCCCAGGAUCCUGCAAGGGCCUCUGUAGCGUGGCUCCUGACCUUCGCUCUUCUUCUCUCUUGGCCUUGCCUGUGGCUAUUGCUUUUCGGUUGUACGUGCAAGUCACCGCCAUAUGACCUUCAGUUUCCCGACUGGCUACUGUCUGGAAAGUUCCUCUUGCCCUCAAGGCUUAGCUCAGACGUUCCCUCCUUGAAGAUGUCCAUAGGGCCCACAUAUCCUCUUUCUACCCAGCUCACUGGUCAGGAUCUUUGUUGGUCUUAUAAGUCCAGGUGCUAUUUUCUCCACUAGGUGGGUAAUUUUUGGGGGGCUUGUAUCAUGUGGGGCCUGGAGCUUAGCAGAACUCAGUGAAAACUCAUGGAAAGAAGAGUGAAUGAAUGAAUGAAUUUCCUGGAGAGAGUAUUCACGGGUAUAAAUCAAAGCUGAGGGUUGUUGCACCCUGAGAGGAUGUUGGACUCAUCUUCUUGGGGCCAGGAUGUCUAUGCAUACACACUUGAAAGUAAGGGCAGUGGGGAGGGGACAGGUCACUCUGGGCUGGGGUUGGAGGUCUUGGAGCUGGAAAACCCACUCUUAUUCCCUGCUUGCCACCCAUCGAGCCUCUUUGGAGCCUUUGACUGUUGGGCAGGGACUUGGGUCAGAAUAACGUUUGUCUUUCUACAGGAUCUCUGGUGCUUCCUGCUUUUAACCUCUGGCCUCAGUCGCUGCUCCAAGCUGGACCCACUGAAGGACCUCAGAAUUAGAUGCCUGCCCUCAGGGCUCUCAGCUCAGAAGAGAGACUCAAAAAUUGGUGGAGGUCCUGGAAGGUGAUCUUGUCCAGACCCCGACCUGCAAGCAGGCCUGGGCUGGGAAUGGCCUGCCCUUUCCUCAAAAAAAUUUCUGUAGAGGGGACUUCUUGAGCCCUUUUUCCUACUUCUCAACCUUAGUCUCUGGCUGGGCAGGACUCUUCCAUCUCAUUUGUGCAGUGGCCAGGCCAGCCUCUGGGUGACAUAUGCUGUAUUUUGUAGACAUAUGAGGCAAUGUAAGUAGCUGGGGGCAUGUUCUCUGGAUUCAUACUGGGUACAAAUCCCAGCUCCGUUGCUUGUUAGCUAUGUGAUGUUGGGGACUCCUUAAUCACUCUGUGCCUUAGUUUCCUCAUCUGUACAACAGGAAUAAUAAAAACUCACUUGGGUUUUUGUGAAGAACAAAUGAGCUAAUACAUGAAAGGCAUUUAGUGGGGGGAGUGCCUGGUGAGGGGUCAGAUACUUGGUAAGUGUGAGCUUUUGAUACUUUCCUGCUGUGCUCCUGAUCUGGCUCAGGUUCCACCCUUUAGCUUGUCUCUCCGCCUUCACACACUUGCCUCCCUAAAAGGACUCCAUCUGGUAAACGUGUGCUAGGGGUCCUCUGCUCUCAAGAGGUUCACAGUCAGUGGAGUGCAAGGGUGCACGCCUGAAAUCCCAGCGGUUCUGGAGGCAGAGACAGGACUGUCACAAGUUCAUAGCCAGCCUCAGCAAUUUAGGGAGACCCUAUGCAACUUAAUAAGACCCUGUCUCAAAAUAAAAAAUAAAAAUAAAAAGGGCUGGGGAAUGUGGCUCAGUGGUUAAGAGCCCUUGGAUUCAAUCCCUGAUACCAAAAAAAAAAAACAAAAAACAAAAAACAAAAACCCCAAAACAAAACAAAACUUCACAAUCCCCACUGGAGCAGGCAUGGAACAAACCUAAGAAAACUACUUAGUCUAGAAGCUGCUGCCACUCUUGCUUUCUAGGGAUAUGGCACUGUUCAUCCUGGGGAAAUGAUUCUUCUGUGAGGAAAUCACAGAAAUCACCUCGAAGACCAUUGACUGACUACUCCUCCACACAAUCAUAAUGGUAUAAGGAGUUAAUAUUAAUUGGGCUCUUCCUCUGAGUGCUUUGUAUCUAGUAACCCAUUUAAUCUUUGUGCAAUCCUCUGAGAUUCCUACUUAUUUAUUUAUUCGCCAUGCUGGAGAUGGAAUCUAAGGCCUCAUACAUGCUAGGUGAACAUUCUACCACUCACCUACAUACCCAGCCUGAGUUUCCCUAUUUCAGAUGAGACACAAAGAGGAUGUAUAACGUGCAGAGUUUUCUCAGCUGGUGAGAGAGGGGCUGGCAGUCACCCAGGAACCUGUUGGGGCCCAGGCCCUUCACCUCCUCCCAUUCUGCCUGUGCACACAGGAGGAGGCUGAGCCCAGAGGGGAAAGCCCUCAGCACAUUGGAGGCAGAGCCAGGGCUAGAAUCAGGUCCCCUUCCCGCCCUCUUUCUGGAACACUGCUUCAGUUUGCCUGAGGGAUGGGGAAGGGAAGGAGGUGGUGGCAGGGAUGUGGUUUCACUGGGGUGAACAGAAAAGCUGUGAAUGGUUCUGGGUGGUGGUGCGGGCAGCAUAGGGCCUUCGGGUCCAUGUGUGGAACAUCUGGUAGUGCAGGGUGAUCUGGGGGUACCUUAAGAGCUAGUGGGUCUCUCCAGACAUUUUUUUUGGACAGUUUUAUGAGAUAAAAUUCACAUUCCACACAAUCCACCCACUUAAAGUGUUCAAUUUGAUGGUUCUAGGAUAUUCGCAGGGCUGUGUGACUAUCCCCACUACUGGUUCUUGAGACUUCUCCUCCCGGCCCUCGUUUGGCAGCAUCCAUAUCCUCGGCUCGCAAACCCCCACAGGUCUCCCUGGGAUCAGAAACAGCCUCCCCUGACCCCGCGCUGACUCGGCUGUUGUGCAAUCCGCUUCUUCUUCCAUGACGAAACCUCUUGAAUGAGCGCUUCACACCCACCGCCUUCAUUUGCUCAGAUUCAAUAAACAUUUUCAAAAAGC